UGUUCAUUUGUCAGGAAGAGAGAGCUUCUUUGCUGUCUUGUGUUGGUUGUUGCCCAGUGACAGUUCUGUUGACACUAUUUGGUAGCCGCUACUUCUAAGGUAAGACCUGGAUGGACUACCCCCUGUAUUUUGGUUGGUGCGCCAGGAGGUUCUGAAAGGUUAGGGCAAACCCGGACGACGCUGGGCCAAUUGUGCGCCUCCUUAUGUGACUCCCUAUCACUGCCGGUUGUGAUACAGCCUUGAAUCGAACCAGGGUGCCGCCUCAAGCUCUGAGAUGCAGUGCCUUAGACCCUCAAGCGCUGAGAUGCAGUGCCUUAGACCGCUGCACCACUCGGCAGCCCCUCAUGCAAGGGUUUGUCCAUUAUUAGCCUAUGACCUAAACAAAACAUUAUAUCAAAUGUUUGCUUGCAUAUAAUUGAAGGUCAAUAUUCCUGCCUUAAUGUUCAGGAGUACAUGUCAAGGAACACCACAGGGACAUUUUAAUAGAUAUAGUCUGGUGGCUUCAGUAUAAAAUACUUGAUGAAAUUCCUAGACUAAAGGGUAAAUAAAAACACAUUCAUGUUGUACAAUCAAUUAUAUAUGGAUGUGUUUGUCCUAGACUAAAGAGUAGAUAAAAACACAUUCAUGUUGUACAAUCAAUUAUAUAUGGAUGUGUUUGUCCUAGACUAAAGAGUAGAUAAAAACACAUUCAUGUUGUACAAUCAAUUAUAUAUGGAUGUGUUUGUCCUAGACUAAAGAGUAGAUAAAAACACAUUCAUGUUGUACAAUCAAUUAUAUAUGGAUGUGUUUGUCCAAGACAGUUUCCAGUAAUCACUUCCAGUAAGCUGAGAUUGCCAGAGGCAAGAAGUAAAACAAAAAAAGCAUGACCAACUGAGACAUUACUUACACUGUCCUGAGACCCUGGAGAAGAUCUACUCUAGUAGCUACAGGUGCAUGAUAAGAGACAACUGGUUUACAACAACAAUCAAUGACAAGUGAUACUGACCUGAGAAAUAGUUUGUCAGCUUUAAUGUGCAUUUGUUAGGUUAACAUCUGUAAAUCUUAUUCUGUUGUACUGUAGCCUUGUAAAGACUCAUGGAGACAACGUGUCGUCUCUUUUCCACAACUUUAUUGUCUUGAUAAGGUCAAUCACAAUCAUAAGUUGUUCACUUAUAUUACACCUUGAGGUAAUGAAUCACACAGCUGGGAGAUACAGGAGAAUAUUCACACAUUAUAGAGCGUGUCGGUCUAAUCCUGAAUGUUGAUUAGUUAAAACGGCAUUCCACCCGGUGCAUAUUCCACAAGCUACCACCGGCUAAAUCUAUGACUUUAAAAUGCCUAUUUACUCUGUUCCAACUGACUGCGCAAUCCACUGUCUCAUCAGCCCAGCCAGGCAAUUUAUAAACUUGAUAGAAUGUUCACACAAUCACAUCUCUUUGUACUAAUACAACAAAUGUACCAUUUUAGUCUAGCUUUAGAUAGCUGUACUGUUAUUAUAGUGAAGCUGAGACUGAUGAUUAGAAAGAUACUGUUAUUUUGUUACAAUGGUACAAAGUCAAAUGAUGAAAAAUACACCUUAUGUGCUCCAUUACUGGAUGGCUCACAUUUUUUCUAAACCUGAAUUAAACAAGCGACAAC
Molecule: non-coding RNA, 1617 nt
Organism: Oncorhynchus mykiss (rainbow trout)
Lineage: Eukaryota; Metazoa; Chordata; Actinopteri; Salmoniformes; Salmonidae
Source: RefSeq, a predicted model, not a curated record